UAAACCCCAAAUAUCAUAACCGAGAUUCAAAACCAAAUUUGAGAUUUUACACAUUCAAUUUGCUUAUAUAUUUUGCUCCUUUCUUGUUUUAACUGAGUUGCUCAUCCAUUUCCUUUUCUUUUCCUAAUUAUCAUUCAGUUCAUUAUUAUCAAUUUAUCAUGGCAGAUCAGGCGUUGCUCGUUAGUGGUGUAACCGAGUUAUUGAAACAUUUGACUUCUGUUGUUUCCCAACAAAUUAGUGAGGCUUGGGGUGCACACAAUGAUCUGGAAAAACUCAAAGGUACUUUGGAGAUGAUAGCGGCUGUUACAACUGAUGCUGAGGAGCAGCAAGAGAAAUCUAAGCUUGUGAAACUUUGGUUGGACAGGCUCAAUGAUGUUGUGUAUGAUGCUGAUGAUGUUCUGGACGAGUUUUCUUAUGAAGCCAUGCGUCGAAUGGAACUGUGUCGCAAGAGAGAUAAGGUACGACAAUUAUUUUCUUCAUGCACCUCAGUUGCCUCUAAUUGCAAGAUGAGUUGGAAAAUGGGUCGGAAAAUAAAAAAAUAUUAACAUGAGGCUAGAUGAUAUUUCCACUGCGGUAGUGACUAAGACUCUACUCCCAUAAUCUGCGGUUGGUCUACAGAGACGCCUCGGUAAAGAGCUCCUUUGAUAAAAGGGCUUGGGUCUGUGUGUCUGAUGGUUUCAACAUCCAAAAAAUAUUUAAAAGCAUAAUUGAGUCAUUUACCAGUAGGAAGUGUGCUAAUUUCUCAAAUGUGGAAGUCUUGGUUGAUAAAGUUCGAGAAGAGUUGAGUAAUAAAAAAUAUUUACUAAUUCUCGAUGAUCUGUGGAGUGAAAAUACGGAAGACUGGGAUACACUUCAAGAUUUACUAAGUGUGGGUGCUCAUGGGAGUAGAGUCUUAGUCACUACACGUAGUAAAAAUGUUGCAUCUGUUGUCGGAGGUGCUGUCUCACCAUACAUGUUAGAAAACUUACCUCAUAGUGUUUGUUGGUCUAUCAUCAAGACCAGAGCAUUUUCCCCAGGUGGAGCAUCAGAGACUGAGAGCAUGACAUGUAUAGGAGAGAAAAUUGCAGAAAGAUGUGGUGGUUCACCACUAGCUGCAAAAGUUCUCGGUAAUGUUUUGCGUCUGCAUCAAAGAUUGAUUGAUUGGCAGUCAAUCCUAGAUCAUGAUAGUUUAGAUGCGAAAAACAAAGGGAUCAUACCCAUAUUGAAACUAAGUUAUGAUAAAUUACCAUCACAUUUGAAACUUUGUUUUUCCUAUUGCUCUUUGUUCCCAAAAGAUUGGGUCAUUAAUAGGAAAAUUUUAGUUCGGUUGUGGAUGGCAGAAGGGUUCCUUCGUCUAUCUGAUGGUGGAAAUCAUAUGUCACUAGAAGAUGUCGGUGAUGAUUAUUUUCAUAGUUUACUGGCCAAUUCUUUCUUUCAAGAUGUGACAUUCGAUCAUUUAGGCGACGUCCAAACAUUCAAGAUGCAUGAUUUGGUGCAUGAUCUUGCCCAGAGUGUCAGCGGUGUUCAUGAUAUCAAGAUUAUCAAUUCGGGUGAAAUGGAUUCAAUUUCUAAACAUCGGCGCUUGUUGUUAAAUUUAGAAGAGGAAACAUCAGAAACAUUUUCAAAAGUCUUGAAAAAGUCAAAACGUCGGAGGUCCAUUUAUUCCCUUAGAAAAUGUGAUUUAGGAGAACAUUUACUUUAUGGCAAGAAUCUGCGGGUUGUUUCUUUGCUCAGAGAUUUCUUUCUAUAUGGAGUUGUUGAUCAUUCCAGAGUAGAGCUGGCAAACGGGCGGGCCGGGCUGGUUUGUUGCGGGUUACACAUAUGCGGAUUAACACGGGCCAAAACUCGCGGCUCGAUAUUCUUCAGGAUGGUCAUUUCUUCAACCCGCGCCCGUAACGGGUAAAGCUUGCGGGUUUACAGGUUAACCCGGAUUGUUUAAUUAAUGUUGAAAUUAAAACUUAAUUAAGUUAAUUUGCGGUCUUAUUUAAGCUUUGACCAUCUUCAAAUCUCUAAUCAACACAAAAACCAAACAAAGAUGCAUUCAAUUUCAACAUAAAAAUCAAAGACAGAUCCAUUCAACACAAAUCAAAACCCAUCUUUUUUGUUCAAUUUCUGAAACUCCAUCUUCUUCUUGGAUGAUUGAAUCCCCACUUUUUAGCUGGUGUUGCUUUUGCUUGUGCUCCCCCCCUCGAUUAGCGGGUAACAAUCCACCAUUACUCACCAACGACAUUGUCAUAUGUUUUGGAAACUGAAAUUGGGGUUUUGGUCUCUGCAAUUGAUUGAACAAGGAAUCAGAGAUGAUAGAGAAAGAACUUUUUGUCCAUCUUGCAAAUGUACUGCAAGUCUGCAAACAAGAGAUAAAAAAACAAGGCUAAUGUAAAUCUGCUUUUACAGUGACAAAGCAUGGAUUCAAAACAACUCUAGGUUAAUUAAAUCAAAGUGUACAACAAACGAGACAAAUAUGCUAUGAUAGUGGAGGAAGUAUACACUUCUCAAUUAGCAAAUCCAACACAGUUAACUUGCGGAGACAUUGUAUACUACUAGUACAUUCAUAUCCCCAUUCAACAACAUCAAUUUUAUGUAACCAAACCAAACAACUAAAAUGAAAAUCAAAUUAUACACAACCUAAAGUUUCUCAGCAUUACAAAAUCUUACCUAAAGCUUGCUUCCUCAACCUUACUAUCCAUUAAUCCUUGAGCAUUACCACUAGGUUUCCUCAAUCCAGAACCACUAAAUACUACUUGUUUUUGUAAUUGGUCCAUCCAGUAACCAAAAAAUACAAAAAAUAUAAAUUGGGUAUGGGUCUCUUUGAAAAUCAAUUAUAAUGAUAGAAAUCCAAUCUUUCCUGAAUUUACUUACCCCUUGAUACACCCUGAGAAGCCAUGCAUAAGCUUAGACCCAUUUGUGAUUUCAAUUUCAUGGUGUCCUCCAAAACUUUCCCUGUUCAAAACCCAUGAACGAAUUUAUUAUUAGAUAAAGUUAUUUAAACUUGCAGAGGAAAACAGAGAGGAAAGAAGGUGAUACCUUUGAAGAUGAGUUUUUGAACUCCAGGGAGAACAUUAGUGAGAGGUUGAAGAAGAGAUUCAAGAUAUUUAAUGGUUGAUUCUAUAGAAAGUGAUUAUGCAGGCUGUAACAACAACAAACCCUAACUCCUUCAUUUCCCUUCUCUGCCGAUUCAACAUAAAUCCAAUUAGUAAUCAAAACCCUGUAAUCCCAUAAUUCAAACCCCUAAUAGUGAACCUUACUUUCUUCUCAGAUUCACUUUAUUACCAUCUGAUUCCAUCUCUAUCUCACAGAUCCACCUUCAACUGAUUUCAAAAUCAAAUUUAAAUAACUCUCAACUUCAAAAACUCGAUCUAAUUAUCUUCAACCUUUAGGGAUCACUAGCAACACCCUGUGAAAUAAAGAUGGAGGUGGUGAGGAGGCGCAAUGAAAAGGAAGAGACAGUGGAGAAGAAAAAAAUAGGAAGAAGAAAUGAAACAUUUUCUAGGGUUUUUGGAUUUUAUAUCCUAAACGAACGAAUCUGAUUAAUUCUAGAUAAUCUGACGGUGGAAUUUAAGCAUAACUUAUUAUUGUAGACGGGUUACGGGUUGUACCCGCGGUUUUACGGGCCGGGUUAGCCCGUUUUCCCACAAGCCAGCAUUUCUACGACCCUAACCUGGCUUGUUUAGCCACCAGCCGAGACGGGUGCGGGUUUUUUACGGUCCGGGCUGGGUAAAUCCGCGGGUUUUGGCUUGUUUGCCAGCUCUAUUCCAGAGUAGUUCAUUCUUCGAUAGUUGAGCAUAAGCAUUUGAGGUACCUUGACCUGUCUUAUUGUAGUUUUGAUGAAGGACCAUAUGUGUCCAUGAAUCAACUUUACAAUUUGCAGACAUUAAUACUACAAGGAUGGAAAAAUAAUGUUGAAAUGAUUCUUCGAGGCAUUGGAUCUCUGAAGAAUUUAAGGCACCUAGAUCUCUCGGGUUCGGAUGUUGAAGAGUUUGAUGAUUCUGUCGUUCAUCUUACUAAUUUGCAGACAUUAGAUCUAACUCGGUGCAGUGAAUUAGUAGCCUUGCCUAAAUAUAUCGGGGCUUUGAAAUAUCUAAGAGAGUUGAAAUUGAGAUACUGUGGAAAUUUAAAAUUUUUGCCUAGAGAAAUCGGAAAAUUGAUACGAUUAAGGUGGCUGGAUUUGUCUCAUACUGAGAUUAAAGUAUUACCUGACUCAUGCAUCAAAAACCUUUGCAAUUUGGAGUUGCUCCAUUUUGGAGAGAACUGUGAGCUUCCCAAAGAAAUUAAAAAAAUUCCAAAAUUGAGAAUUUUGAAACAUUGGAGAGAGAACAAAGAUGAAAUGCCCAGAGGUAUAGAAACUCUAACCGGCCUUGAAGUGUUACAUUCUUAUGUGGUGAGGAAGAUAUUAACCACCUCUUGCAGUAGUGGUGGUAGUGGGAUCGAAGAAUUAGCCAACCUAAAUUCUCUACAUAAGUUAGAGAUUCUCAAUCUGGAAUUUGUUAGAAGCGGUAUUGAUGCGGAGAGAGCAAAGUUAAAAGAUAAGACAAACCUCCGUAAGUUGCGUCUAGAAUGGGGGUCCGAUGAUCAUGACUAUGAAAUGGCGUUUGAUGAAGUGUUCGAAGGUCUCGAGCCGAACCUUAAUUUAGAAGAGUUGACAGUAUAUAAUUUUCUGGGUUUAAAGCUGCCUAAAUGGAUUGGUUCAUCCAACUGCCUUCCGAAUUUAGUGGAAAUAAAUAUUUUGGAAUGCAAUAGAUGUGAGAAGCUACCAGCGCUGGGUAUGCUCCCACGUCUUAGUAUCUAACAAUUGAUAAAAUGAAUUCAGUGAAGUAUUUGGGUGAAGAGUUUUUCUACCAGCAGCAAGAAGAAAAAGAAGAAAAAAUAAUCAUCGGCAGCUGCAAUGGUAGUGGUAGUGUUGUAAAUGCAGUAUCAUUAUUUCCUUCAUUGAUUAGUUUGACAUUAAGAAACAUGAUAAAUAUAGAAGAAUGGGUUGCUCCUCCUGCGAUUCAUAAUUCAUUUCCUUUCAUUGAGAAUCUAGAUAUCAGCGAAUGCCAAAAACUGAGAAGCACACCAAAAUCAUUUUUCUCUCUCAAGGAGUUGCGUUUGUACAGCAUCGGCAACAGCAAGUCAUUAAGCUCAAUCUUUAGUACUACUGGAGGACUUACCUCUCUCACAUUCAUUAUAAUAGAUUGUUACCAAAACCUGUAUAUCCCACUGGGCGUACUACUCCGAAACAUCACUCCGAAUCUUCAAGAUCUACGCAUCAAUAAUUUCCCUAAGUUUCAAGGUUUUGUUGAAGAUGAUGAUCUAAACAACUACAAUAACAAGGAUGGUGAUGAUGAUGAUGAGAAGGUGACACUAUCUUUUUCAUGUCCUGAAAUCAACUCUAACUCCAAUAAUAGAAGCAAUUCUCUCCGUUCAUUAACGUUUACGGAUUGUCCUGUAUUAACGUUGCUCCCGGAUUUACGAUCGUUCACUUCUCUCCGGGAAUUAACCAUUUGGGACUGCCAUAAAUUGAAGGAGUCAAUACCCUACGAUCUCAAGACUCUUACUUUUCUUGAAGAUUUGGGAUUUGAUUUUACUCAAAGCGAAUAUGAGUACCCAGAAGAUCCAGCUGAUAAGUCAUUAAGUAUCCUAAACAGGUUUGAAGAGGAUUCUGACGAGACGAUUUGUAGGUACAAAAAAUAGACUCACCAUGUGUCAACACGAGAAGGCCUUAAAGAGGGGAAUGUAUCUCGAUCAAAGAUCUCAGUCAGUGAUUUGUCAAAUCAAGUCACAUAAAGUCAUAAUUAAUGAACCGACGAAGAUACGUGCACGAGAUAAUAGUGCAAACCGCGAGAAAGUUGUGGGAGUAUUCAGCAAGGUAUCACACGAAAAAAGUAUACAGGCGAAGGAAGAUUGCUUGGCCCAAAAGUCAUUCGGCGAAGAUAUUACUUAUUGAGUAAAAAAUAGGACAGUUGUCCCGACAGGAUCACAUGGGUAUCAGCGAAAGAAGGGGAAAACUUUAUGGAAAACGGGUCGGGCGAAGGAUAAAGCAAGACCACGAAGCUCCCACGAAGAAAAAUGAGUUGUCCAGCACUAAGGGUGAUAUGCCUAUAAAUAGAGGUCCUUGGGCAACAAAUGAAUGAUGGAAUUUUUGGGAGAGUAUGAACCUUAGCUUAGAGAGUAAGAUUAGGGUUUUCCUUUAUGUGUAAUCUUGUAAUCGAGAGUUCUCAUUCUAUAAAUCAAUAAAAGUUCUUUAAUCAAAUUGGUA
Papaver somniferum (opium poppy) is the source of this 6214-nucleotide RNA transcript. RefSeq lists it as uncharacterized. Lineage: Eukaryota; Viridiplantae; Streptophyta; Magnoliopsida; Ranunculales; Papaveraceae. The record is from RefSeq and is a predicted model, not a curated record. The transcript is spliced from 2 exons.